Long non-coding RNA from Astatotilapia calliptera (eastern happy), 1320 nucleotides. The record is from Ensembl. NCBI's taxonomy places the organism in Eukaryota, Metazoa, Chordata, Actinopteri, Cichliformes, Cichlidae.
CUUGGAUCCGCUAUAAUGUCACUUGAUACAACAGUAGCACCACUGAAAGCUUAUAGUAAAUGAAUGAAUAUAAAUAAAUAAAUAAAUAGACUCUUUUACAGGUACAGGUUAAGGUUUGGAACUUUUUUUGCAAUAAUCAAACACCUGGAGACAGGCAGAAGCCACAGUCCCCAUUCAUCACUCAUUAUAUGGAAAGUCUGAAGUCGUUGUCUUUGGCGUUUGUCUGGACAAACUAAAUGAGUACUGACAGAUGCUGGUGAACCAGACAACUGCUCCAAUAUAUAAACAAUUUAAAAAAAAAAUAAAGAGGAGGAAGGGAAGAUGGAGUGAAAUAAUGAAACCACCUCAUUAGCAAGGAAAAGCCUUAAUCCCACAAGACAACACAUUUGCAUGUUUUCCCAGUAGCCCCCACUGCAAAUGACAGCUGAAAGAUGCAGUGGAGGGAAAUUAUGCAGUCAAAAGUUCAGCAUCAAGGAAAACAUCAGGAGGAUUAUCUGUCUCAUGGUUUCAGGCUUGACAGUAUGUGACCAGGCUUUAUAGAGCAAAAUUUGAAGAAAAAUGUUAGAAUGUGGUCCCUCUAGAAAUUGUAUUCAUGCAGCUGUGAAAAAAAGACUGAUUGUUCAAUCAUUAGUCAAAAGUCAUUUGAAUAUCAACUCACAACUUGCAGACAAAGGAGCUCGCGAUGCAAGUUAGACUGCACAUCCUUAGUUCGCUAAAAAAUUAAAAAUUUAAUGUACCACUGGUCAAAACUUUGGUACCGCUUUAAAAAAAACCAAAAAAAAAAAAAAACCAUAGUGCAGCAUAAAAAGGCCUCAAAGUCCACACACAAUUUCACCUACCAACAGCUUCACCAAGUUUCACUUCAUGCAAGUUAUAACACAAUCCAGGGGAUAAGUCGAUCAUUAAUAUUAAGUCUACAAUUAAGAGAAGAUUUCAUAAAGGCAAAUAAAAUUAUUAUUUAAAACAGACUUUACUAAAAGAUGCACGCCAUAGGAUUGGACUUCAAGAAGUUGAAGACGAAGAAGUCGAAGAAGAAAAAUGGUGCACAUUGUUUUGUGGGGAGUUCUACCCCCGUCCAUCAUGGAUACUUGCAUGCAAUUGACAUAUAGGCCUGUUUAAAUGCAUAUCAGAAUAUCAUUUUCACCAGUUUCACAGAUCAGUGUUACAUUUCUAGUCAGCUAAAAGUCUCAGUAAAUCUUGUUUUCUCAAAACACUGUUUUAUGUGUCCAAUCUUUAUUCAAAUAGAACAAAACUGUUUUAACCCUUUCCUCUUAUAAAUGCAACCUCCUCUGGACCCUUGAUAUCACUGACACAUCAGCA